Long non-coding RNA from Photinus pyralis (common eastern firefly), 584 nucleotides. RefSeq lists it as uncharacterized. The transcript is spliced from 3 exons. The record is from RefSeq and is a predicted model, not a curated record. NCBI's taxonomy places the organism in Eukaryota, Metazoa, Arthropoda, Insecta, Coleoptera, Lampyridae.
GUUAUCAUUGAAAUUUUGGAAAAAUCAACGUUGAAGUUGACACAUAAAUUUUAAAAAUUUUUUCUUUUAGUGAAACUAAAAUUUUUAAAGUAUGGCAUCAGAACAAACUGAUAAGGCAUUGUUUCGAAUAAAUGAUGUCAUUAUGGCUGUGGAUCACCGUCGAGCUAUAGACAGAGACCCCAAACUACACAUAGGUUUAAAUCCAUUAUUUUUAUCAAUGAGACAAGAAUUGCACACCUUGAAAUUGUUAAAUACAAAAAACAGAAAAGAUAGGUUGAGAAAACUGUUUAUCAAUGAUUACCUUCAAGAAGAAAAGGAGCUUCGACAGAUAGGGUUGGCAUAUAUUAAUACACAAAUAUAAAUGAUUAAUUUGUAAUAUGAAUAAUAUGUACAUCCUUGAAUGGUACUGUUUUCUUUACAGCUUAAUUUUAGAGACAAUGAUGUCAUUUACCUAUACCAGCAUACAGUGGUAGAUAUCAAUUUAUCCAAAUAAAUGUCAAAGCUUUUCUUUAUCCUUCUGAAGAAAAUUUGGCUCUAUAACACCACUGUUUAGGAACAUUUUUUGCUCAAAGUUAAAGUAUAAU